RNAcentral lists this ribosomal RNA (1051 nucleotides) under Marinospirillum sp. CPA-129. RNAcentral describes it as "bacterial SSU rRNA". It matches the Rfam family "Bacterial small subunit ribosomal RNA", at positions 56 to 1104 of the family's 1533-position model. The record is from RNAcentral. Lineage: Bacteria; Pseudomonadati; Pseudomonadota; Gammaproteobacteria; Oceanospirillales; Oceanospirillaceae.
UGCAAGUCGAGCGGAAACGAUGGAAGCUUGCUUCCAGGCGUCGAGCGGCGGACGGGUGAGUAAUGCAUAGGAAUCUGCCCGGUAGUGGGGGAUAACUCGGGGAAACUCGAGCUAAUACCGCAUACGUCCUACGGGAGAAAGUGGGCUUUUGCUCACGCUAUCGGAUGAGCCUAUGUCAGAUUAGCUAGUUGGUGGGGUAAAGGCUCACCAAGGCGACGAUCUGUAGCUGGUCUGAGAGGAUGAUCAGCCACACUGGGACUGAGACACGGCCCAGACUCCUACGGGAGGCAGCAGUGGGGAAUAUUGGACAAUGGGGGCAACCCUGAUCCAGCCAUGCCGCGUGUGUGAAGAAGGCUUUCGGGUUGUAAAGCACUUUCAGCGAGGAGGAAAGCGGUGUUGUUAAUACCAGCAUCGUGUGACGUUACUCGCAGAAGAAGCACCGGCAAACUCCGUGCCAGCAGCCGCGGUAAUACGGAGGGUGCGAGCGUUAAUCGGAAUUACUGGGCGUAAAGCGUGCGUAGGUGGUUAAGUAAGCCAGAUGUGAAAGCCCCGGGCUUAACCUGGGAACGGCAUCUGGAACUGCUUAACUAGAGUGCAGUAGAGGAAGGUAGAAUUCCACGUGUAGCGGUGAAAUGCGUAGAUAUGUGGAGGAAUACCAGUGGCGAAGGCGGCCUUCUGGACUGACACUGACACUGAGGUACGAAAGCGUGGGGAUCAAACAGGAUUAGAUACCCUGGUAGUCCACGCCGUAAACGAUGUCUACUAGCCGUUGGGCUCCUUGAGAGCUUAGUGGCGCAGCUAACGCAAUAAGUAGACCGCCUGGGGAGUACGGCCGCAAGGUUAAAACUCAAAUGAAUUGACGGGGGCCCGCACAAGCGGUGGAGCAUGUGGUUUAAUUCGAUGCAACGCGAAGAACCUUACCUACCCUUGACAUCCAGAGAAGUCGCUAGAGAUAGCUUCGUGCCUUCGGGAACUCUGUGACAGGUGCUGCAUGGCUGUCGUCAGCUCGUGUUGUGAAAUGUUGGGUUAAGUCCCGUAACGAGCGCAACCC